This 66-nucleotide transfer RNA is filed under the name Hemisinus cubanianus. RNAcentral describes it as "tRNA-Thr". It matches the Rfam family "tRNA". Rfam says of the family: Transfer RNA (tRNA) molecules are approximately 80 nucleotides in length. Lineage: Eukaryota; Metazoa; Mollusca; Gastropoda; Thiaridae. The record is from RNAcentral.
GUGAAUGUAGCUUACAAUAGAGCGUCGGUCUUGUAAGUCGAAGGUUGGGUGCUACCCCCAUUCACC